UACGUAGGUGACAAGCGUUGUCCCGAUUUACUGGGCGUAAAGAGCGCGCAGGCGGUCGAUCAAGUCGAGUGUGAAAGCCCCCGGCUCAACUGGGGAGGGUCAUUCGAUACUGAUCGACUCGAAGGCAGGAGAGGGUAGUGGAAUUCCCGGUGUAGUGGUGAAAUGCGUAGAUAUCGGGAGGAACACCAGUGGCGAAGGCGACUACCUGGCCUGUUCUUGACGCUGAGGCGCGAAAGCUAGGGGAGCAAACGGG
RNAcentral lists this ribosomal RNA (253 nucleotides) under uncultured bacterium. RNAcentral's name for it is "partial 16S ribosomal RNA". It matches the Rfam family "Bacterial small subunit ribosomal RNA", at positions 524 to 776 of the family's 1533-position model. The record is from RNAcentral.